RNAcentral lists this transfer RNA (75 nucleotides) under Bacteroidaceae bacterium. RNAcentral's name for it is "tRNA-Val". It matches the Rfam family "tRNA". Rfam says of the family: Transfer RNA (tRNA) molecules are approximately 80 nucleotides in length. Their secondary structure includes four short double-helical elements and three loops (D, anti-codon, and T loops). Further hydrogen bonds mediate the characteristic L-shaped molecular structure. tRNAs have two regions of fundamental functional importance: the anti-codon, which is responsible for specific mRNA codon recognition, and the 3' end, to which the tRNAs corresponding amino acid is attached (by aminoacyl-tRNA synthetases). tRNAs cope with the degeneracy of the genetic code in two manners: having more than one tRNA (with a specific anti-codon) for a particular amino acid; and 'wobble' base-pairing, i.e. permitting non-standard base-pairing at the 3rd anti-codon position. Lineage: Bacteria; Pseudomonadati; Bacteroidota; Bacteroidia; Bacteroidales; Bacteroidaceae. The record is from RNAcentral.
AGGGGCGUAGCUCAGAUGGUUUAGAGCGUUGCAGUCACAUUGCAAAGGUCAUCGGUUCGAGCCCGAUCGUCCCUA